RNAcentral lists this ribosomal RNA (446 nucleotides) under uncultured bacterium. Its description in RNAcentral is "bacterial SSU rRNA". It matches the Rfam family "Bacterial small subunit ribosomal RNA", at positions 331 to 793 of the family's 1533-position model. The record is from RNAcentral.
CCAGACUCCUACGGGAGGCAGCAGUGGGGAAUAUUGCACAAUGGGGGGAACCCUGAUGCAGCGACGCCGCGUGGGUGAAGGAGUAUUUCGGUAUGUAAAGCCCUAUCAGCAGGGAAGAACAAUGACGGUACCUGACUAAGAAGCACCGGCUAAAUACGUGCCAGCAGCCGCGGUAAUACGUAUGGUGCAAGCGUUAUCCGGAUUUACUGGGUGUAAAGGGGGCGCAGACGGCGAUGCAAGCCAGGAGUGAAAGCCCGGGGCCCAACCCCGGGACUGCUCUUGGAACUGCGUGGCUGGAGUGCAGGAGGGACAGGCGGAAUUCCUGGUGUAGCGGUGAAAUGCGUAGAUAUCAGGAGGAACACCGGUGGCGAAGGCGGCCUGCUGGACUGCAACUGACGUUGAGGCCCGAAAGCGUGGGGAGCAAACAGGAUUAGAUACCCGCGUAC